RNAcentral lists this ribosomal RNA (555 nucleotides) under Chytridiales sp. 2 MV-2011. RNAcentral's name for it is "eukaryotic LSU rRNA". The stretch from base 189 to 334 matches the Rfam family "5.8S ribosomal RNA". The record is from RNAcentral. Lineage: Eukaryota; Fungi; Chytridiomycota; Chytridiomycetes; Chytridiales.
UUAUGGAUGCACUGGGCGAUUAUCCAACACCAUGUGGUCUUGUUUAACGUAUUUGGCAAGUGAUUGCUUUAUUGCAUGUAGCGAUCGCUAUAAGAUAAAGUGAGAAUUCCUCAGGAAUGAGGAAGCUUGCCACCUUUAUUCAACCAAAUACAGUCUGCCUAAUCAUAUACAUUAAAAAAGUUAAAAACAACUUUUGGCAACGGAUCUCUUGGCUCUCGCAACGAUGAAGAACGCAGCGAAAUGCGAUACGUAUCAUGAAUUGCAGAACUCUGAAUGAUAAAUGUUUGAACGCACAUUGCGCCAGCUUCUGGUUGGCAUGUCUGUCUGAGAAUCUUCAAGUUUCCUCAACUCUGCAAUCUCUGUAAUGAUGAUUAUUGCUACGAGUUGGCUAUUGACAGGCUUUACCAUGCAUUAUAUGCGUGGGCUGUUGAAAGACAUAUUCACAUUAGUCUCUGACAAACAAUUUGACAAACUCAAAUUCAAAAGUCAGCAGACAAACAUGACUUUGGUCUCAGAUCAGACAGGAGGACCCGCUGAACUUAAGCAUAUCAAUAA